GUUAAUGAACUUGUAUAAGUUUAUAUUUUGAAAAUAUAAAAAAGAGGUUUAAUCCUCUAUUAACUUA
Molecule: transfer RNA, 67 nt
Filed under: Stictoleptura succedanea
Lineage: Eukaryota; Metazoa; Arthropoda; Insecta; Coleoptera; Cerambycidae
Description: tRNA-Ser
Source: RNAcentral